This is a long non-coding RNA of Cyprinus carpio carpio, 404 nucleotides long. Lineage: Eukaryota; Metazoa; Chordata; Actinopteri; Cypriniformes; Cyprinidae. The record is from Ensembl.
UAGAAAUGAGGUGAAAGAUGAAAUUGAGAGGACGAGGGUUGUUUUGGUGCUGGAUUUGGAGCGGCAGGGGUUAUUUUCUGGAGCAGGAGGUGGGAUUUGAGGUUUUGGGAGGGUAAAGGAUGAUGAAAAGUGUGUUUUUAAAUGUGAAGAUUUUUUAUUUAUAUCUGGUUGGAUGGCGGCAGGAAAACUGAAGAAUAUUAUGAAAGUCAAAGAGACUCACAACUUUCAAGCUCCAAAAAGGACAUAAAGGAUGAAAACGAUCAGAGCAGAAUUGUAAUAUGUGGGCUCUGCAGCUCACCGCUGGCCUAAAAUCGCUUUCCCAGCACAUCAAGAGCAGGCCUGGAGCUGUUCCUGCAGUCCUACAGACACUGUUUUAUGUGUUCUGAUACACGUGUUAAAAAUCA